AAAUUGAAGAGUUUGAUCAUGGCUCAGAUUGAACGCUGGCGGCAGGCCUAACACAUGCAAGUCGAACGGUAACAGGAAGCAGCUUGCUGCUUUGCUGACGAGUGGCGGACGGGUGAGUAAUGUCUGGGAAACUGCCUGAUGGAGGGGGAUAACUACUGGAAACGGUGGCUAAUACCGCAUAACGUCGCAAGACCAAAGAGGGGGACCUUCGGGCCUCUUGCCAUCAGAUGUGCCCAGAUGGGAUUAGCUAGUUGGUGAGGUAACGGCUCACCAAGGCGACGAUCCCUAGCUGGUCUGAGAGGAUGGCCAGCCACACUGGAACUGAGACACGGUCCAGACUCCUACGGGAGGCAGCAGUGGGGAAUAUUGCACAAUGGGCGCAAGCCUGAUGCAGCCAUGCCGCGUGUAUGAAGAAGGCCUUCGGGUUGUAAAGUACUUUCAGCGGGGAGGAAGGUGUUGUGGUUAAUAACC
This 471-nucleotide ribosomal RNA is filed under the name Salmonella enterica. RNAcentral's name for it is "bacterial SSU rRNA". It matches the Rfam family "Bacterial small subunit ribosomal RNA", at positions 1 to 468 of the family's 1533-position model. Lineage: Bacteria; Pseudomonadati; Pseudomonadota; Gammaproteobacteria; Enterobacterales; Enterobacteriaceae. The record is from RNAcentral. RNAcentral also lists the same sequence under 2 other names.